RNAcentral lists this long non-coding RNA (377 nucleotides) under Phoenix dactylifera (date palm). RNAcentral's name for it is "long non-coding RNA (PDAC_LNC008614)". Lineage: Eukaryota; Viridiplantae; Streptophyta; Magnoliopsida; Arecales; Arecaceae. The record is from RNAcentral.
AUUACAAAAUAUUGAGUAUGAGCAGAUUGAUACUUAUCUUAAAAUUAGUUUUAGAAGAGCUCAAGUUGCUGAUUUUCAGCUUUUCAAAUUUGAGAGUGAAGUCUCCCCCUUUUUUAUCCAAAUAUUGCCAAUUUAAACUUUUGAUUUUCUCCCCCUUUCUUUUAUAUUUGGUUAAAGAUGAAACUUCAAAAAUUUGAGAUAAAACAAGAGUUUCAAAUUAUGUAUCGAGGUAUGAGAGGUAUGUGCCAAAUUCUGAAAUUUGAUUGAAAGUUUAGACUUUAAUAUUUUCAUUGUUACAUAUUGCUCCCCCUUAAGUGUAUAUUAUCUCCUAUUAUAUUUUUCAACCUCGUUUGUCAACUUAUUGCAAUUUCUUUCUU